Molecule: ribosomal RNA, 310 nt
Filed under: Nostoc sp. ISC 17
Lineage: Bacteria; Bacillati; Cyanobacteriota; Cyanophyceae; Nostocales; Nostocaceae
Description: bacterial SSU rRNA
Rfam family: Bacterial small subunit ribosomal RNA
Source: RNAcentral
CGGUGGCUAAUACCGGAUGAGCCGAAAGGUAAAAGAUUAAUUGCCUAGAGAUGAGCUCGCGUCUGAUUAGCUAGUAGGUGUGGUAAGAGCGCACCUAGGCGACGAUCAGUAGCUGGUCUGAGAGGAUGAUCAGCCACACUGGGACUGAGACACGGCCCAGACUCCUACGGGAGGCAGCAGUGGGGAAUUUUCCGCAAUGGGCGAAAGCCUGACGGAGCAAUACCGCGUGAGGGAGGAAGGCUCUUGGGUUGUAAACCUCUUUUCUCAGGGAAUAAGAACUGAAGGUACCUGAGGAAUAAGCAUCGGCUAA